This 253-nucleotide ribosomal RNA is filed under the name uncultured bacterium. RNAcentral describes it as "partial 16S ribosomal RNA". It matches the Rfam family "Bacterial small subunit ribosomal RNA", at positions 524 to 776 of the family's 1533-position model. The record is from RNAcentral.
UACGAAGGGGGCUAGCGUUGCUCGGAAUCACUGGGCGCAAAGCGCACGUAGGCGGCUUUCUAAGUCAGGGGUGAAAUCCUGGAGCUCAACUCCAGAACUGCCUUUGAUACUGGAGAGCUUGAGUCCGGAAGAGGUGAGUGGAACUCCGAGUGUAGAGGUGAAAUUCGUAGAUAUUCGGAAGAACACCAGUGGCGAAGGCGGCUCACUGGUCCGGUACUGACGCUGAUGUGCGAAAGCGUGGGGAGCAAACAGG